AGUGAACGCUGGCGGUAGGCCUAACACAUGCAAGUCGAACGGCAGCACAGUAAGAGCUUGCUCUUACGGGUGGCGAGUGGCGGACGGGUGAGGAAUACAUCGGAAUCUACUUUUUCGUGGGGGAUAACGUAGGGAAACUUACGCUAAUACCGCAUACGACCUACGGGUGAAAGCAGGGGAUCUUCGGACCUUGCGCGAUUGAAUGAGACGAUGUCGGAUUAGCUAGUUGGCGGGGUAAAGGCCCACCAAGGCGACGAUACGUAGCUGGUCUGAGAGGAUGAUCAGCCACACUGGAACUGAGACACGGUCCAGACUCCUACGGGAGGCAGCAGUGGGGAAUAUUGGGCAAUGGGUGCAAGCCUGAUCCAGCCAUACCGCGUGAGUGAAGAAGGCCUUCGGGUUGUAAAGCCCUUUUGUUGGGAAAGAAAAGCAGCAGGUUAAUACCCCGCUGUUCUGACGGUACCCAAAGAAUAAGCACCGGCUAACUUCGUG
RNAcentral lists this ribosomal RNA (492 nucleotides) under uncultured bacterium. RNAcentral's name for it is "partial 16S ribosomal RNA". It matches the Rfam family "Bacterial small subunit ribosomal RNA", at positions 29 to 507 of the family's 1533-position model. The record is from RNAcentral.